GGCAGUCAGAGGCGAUGAAGGACGUGCUAAUCUGCGAUAAGCGCCGGUAAGGUGAUAUGAACCGUUAUAACCGGCGAUUUCCGAAUGGGGAAACCCAGUGUGACUCGUCACACUAUCAUUAACUGAAUCCAUAGGUUAAUGAGGCGAACCGGGGGAACUGAAACAUCUAAGUACCCCGAGGAAAAGAAAUCAACCGAGAUUCCCCCAGUAGCGGCGAGCGAACGGGGAGGAGCCCAGAGCCUGAAUCAGCAUGUGUGUUAGUGGAAGCGUCUGGAAAGGCGCGCGAUACAGGGUGACAGCCCCGUACACAAAAGCGCAUGUGCUGUGAGCUCGAUGAGUAGGGCGGGACACGUGGUAUCCUGUCUGAAUAUGGGGGGACCAUCCUCCAAGGCUAAAUACUCCUGACUGACCGAUAGUGAACCAGUACCGUGAGGGAAAGGCGAAAAGAACCCCGGCGAGGGGAGUGAAAAAGAACCUGAAACCGU
Molecule: ribosomal RNA, 485 nt
Filed under: Salmonella enterica subsp. enterica serovar Heidelberg
Lineage: Bacteria; Pseudomonadati; Pseudomonadota; Gammaproteobacteria; Enterobacterales; Enterobacteriaceae
Description: partial 23S ribosomal RNA
Rfam family: Bacterial large subunit ribosomal RNA
Source: RNAcentral